CGGACACACUAAACUUUUAUUUUAUUUGCUUUAUAAAUGAAAAUUAGCCUUUAGGUGAAGAGACCUAAAUAAGGUAGAAAGACAAGAAGACCCUAUUGAGCUUUAUUUUAAAAUAAAAAGAGAAAUUUUGUUGGGGCGACCAGGGAAUAAAAAAACCUUCCCUAAUUUAGACGGACACUCCAAUUAACUAAUCCUAAAGGAACGCAGAACAAGCUACCAUAGGGAUAACAGGCUAAUUUUUUCAGCGAGCUCAUAUCAAUGAAAAAGAUUGGCACCUCGAUGUUGGCUUGAAGAAUCUAUUAGGUGCAGCAGCCU
RNAcentral lists this ribosomal RNA (315 nucleotides) under Pholoe pallida. Its description in RNAcentral is "partial large subunit ribosomal RNA". The stretch from base 50 to 315 matches the Rfam family "Bacterial large subunit ribosomal RNA", at positions 2048 to 2564 of the family's 2925-position model. The record is from RNAcentral. Lineage: Eukaryota; Metazoa; Annelida; Polychaeta; Phyllodocida; Pholoidae.